UCCGGCUAUGUGUUUGCAUCCAUGCAUCCCAUCAACGCUGGCCAUCCAACUUAAAUCCUACGCUUGAUGUAACACACCCCUUAAUUUUGCAAAAACAUGCCCGCCUCCAUCCAGUUAUAGUCUGGUGAUUUUUCCAAAAAACCCUCAGCCGUGGUCCGGUUUACCGAUUCCCUACUACACAAUCCUUUUCUCAAUGACGAUUGCAACCAGUAUCAGCGGCGGCACGGACGGAACGCAUCUGCUUUGUCGAUCGCCGGAAUUGAACGCAUAUCUUUGGAUGGUCGCCGCGACGGCGAGGAUGGACUGCAACUCCCAGCCCCUAAUCGAUAUGGCAGGCAUAUUCUGCUCGUGCGAUGCGCCGCAACCGAUCACCAUGGCAGCAGUUAGGGAUGGUGCGUCUGAUUCAACAACAAUGGAUGAACUCCCAGCAUCAUCCAUAAAUCAACAUUGAGAUUGCCUCCCAAUCUAGCCACCAAGAAACUCACCUCACUUGCUCAGUUAUUUUUGUGGAAAAUGCUACCAACGCAGAACAGCAACGGAACAACACGACAGAUGGAGGUUCAGGUGCAGCUGAACUGCUGAAGGCAACAAUAGGUUGCAAACUCUAAUGAUUGAGGAAGAAUUUGCUACGCCAAAAAAGAAAGCCAGCAUUCUUCUAUUUUGCUGGUCUUUUAAACCAAGAUGCGACGAGAAAUUGAAGCCUAAAGUGGGGAGGUCAUUUGAAGGGCUUGAGACCGUGGAGGAGUUAUACAAGUCAUAUAGGCAUCAUGUGUGUUUUGGAGCUCGUGUUGGACAGCAGAAAAAGUUGAACAAUGUGGUGGUUAGGAGAAAGCCAGAUGAUGUUCCGUCCCUUAGUCUGUUAAUAUACAUGAAUUUAAACGAGUUAUUAAUGUCGAUUUCUUUGAUGUACUGGAUUCUCGUAAUGGUUGGAAUUAUGUGUUUUGUCAA
Molecule: long non-coding RNA, 948 nt
Organism: Triticum aestivum (bread wheat)
Lineage: Eukaryota; Viridiplantae; Streptophyta; Magnoliopsida; Poales; Poaceae
Exons: 3
Source: RefSeq, a predicted model, not a curated record